Long non-coding RNA from Lemur catta (Ring-tailed lemur), 378 nucleotides. RefSeq lists it as uncharacterized. NCBI's taxonomy places the organism in Eukaryota, Metazoa, Chordata, Mammalia, Primates, Lemuridae. The transcript has 3 exons. The record is from RefSeq and is a predicted model, not a curated record.
AGAAGAAAUUCCUUUGGAUUUUCAUGAGAGAGCAAUCGAGAAGAGUUCUUCAAACAUUCCGACUGAAAAUCCCGUUUCUAGAGAAUUAAAAUGUAUUACUAAAAAAUUUUUAGAUAAGUGUUACACUCUACUAAUGAAGAUUUUAAGAACUACUCAGUAAUUGAACCAUGUGAAUUCAAUGAUCUAUGAGCUUGGAAUCUUAAGAAAUUACUAAUUUUGAUGAUGACAUUGGCUGCUUCGGUUUUAGGAACUGUCAGAAAUAGCCACUAACCAAGAGAAAGAGAGCAAGGACUAGCCCUGAAUAAUUGGUCAAUGAUGCUGGUUUUGUUGGCUUCAUUCUCCUUUGACUUCCUGGAAAAUACAGACCUACAAAGCAAA